RNAcentral lists this ribosomal RNA (498 nucleotides) under uncultured bacterium. RNAcentral's name for it is "partial 16S ribosomal RNA". It matches the Rfam family "Bacterial small subunit ribosomal RNA", at positions 29 to 523 of the family's 1533-position model. The record is from RNAcentral.
AUUGAACGCUGGCGGAAUGCUUUACACAUACAAGUCGAGCGGCAGCGCGGGGCAACCUGGCGGCGAGCGGCGAACGGGUGAGUAAUACAUCGGAACGUACCCAGUUGUGGGGGAUAGCCCGGCGAAAGCCGGAUUAAUACCGCAUACGACCUGAGGGUGAAAGGGGGGGAUCGCAAGACCUCUCGCAGUUGGAGCGGCCGAUGGCGGAUUAGCUAGUUGGUAGGGUAAAGGCCUACCAAGGCGACGAUCCGUAGCGGGUCUGAGAGGACGACCCGCCACACUGGAACUGAGACACGGUCCAGACUCCUACGGGAGGAAGCAGUGGGGAAUUUUGGACAAUGGGGGCAACCCUGAUCCAGCCAUUCCGCGUGAGUGAAGAAGGCCUUCGGGUUGUAAAGCUCUUUCGGCAGGAACGAAACGGUCCUUUCUAAUACAAAGGGCUAAUGACGGUACCUGAAGAAGAAGCACCGGCUAACUACGUGCCAGCAGCCGCCGUAA